Pyrus x bretschneideri (Chinese white pear) is the source of this 98-nucleotide small nuclear RNA. NCBI's taxonomy places the organism in Eukaryota, Viridiplantae, Streptophyta, Magnoliopsida, Rosales, Rosaceae. The record is from RefSeq and is a predicted model, not a curated record.
GUCUCUUCGAGAACAUCUGAUAGAACUGAAACGACACAGAAAAGAUUAGCAUGGUCCAUGCGCAAGGAUCAACGCAUAAAUCGUUUCAAUUGAGCUUU